RNAcentral lists this ribosomal RNA (459 nucleotides) under uncultured bacterium. RNAcentral's name for it is "partial 16S ribosomal RNA". It matches the Rfam family "Bacterial small subunit ribosomal RNA", at positions 338 to 795 of the family's 1533-position model. The record is from RNAcentral.
CCUACGGGAGGCAGCAGUGAGGAAUAUUGGUCAAUGGACGCGAGCCUGAACCAGCCAAGUCGCGUGAGGGAUGACUGCCCUAUGAGUUGUAAACUGCUUUUGUAUGAGGGUAAUCCGCUUUACGUGUAUAGUGUUGAAAGUACCCUACGAAUAAGCAUCGGCUAACUCCGUGCCAGCAGCCGCGGUAAUACGGAGGAUCCGAGCGUUAUCCGGAUUUAUUGGGUUUAAAGGGUGCGUAGGCGGUAUGAUAAGUUAGUGGGAAAAGGUUGGGGCUUAACCCCACUACGCCAUUAAUACUGUUGGGCUAGAGAAUAGACGCGGUAGGCGGAAUGUGUGGAGUAGCGGUGAAAUGCAUAGAGAUAAUACAGAACACCGAUAGCGAAGGCAGCUUACCAGACUGAGUCUGACGUUGAGGCACGAGAGCAUGGGUAGCGAACAGGAUUAGAUACCCUGGUAGUC